Megalobrama amblycephala (Wuchang bream) is the source of this 510-nucleotide long non-coding RNA. RefSeq lists it as uncharacterized. The record is from RefSeq and is a predicted model, not a curated record. The transcript has 4 exons. Lineage: Eukaryota; Metazoa; Chordata; Actinopteri; Cypriniformes; Xenocyprididae.
AAAUGUAACCAAACAGUUGUUCCCUUGUCGAAUAAAACGUAAUUUAAAGCGUCUUUGGUGUUCCCAUGGUUUCUACAAAAUAACCAAGAGUAACGCGGAUGUGACGCCAUUGACAGGCGACUCCUGGACACGUCCCAGAUCCUCGGUUAAAAUCGCAAUUUUUUUAGGAUUAACAUAGUUAGAAACAUUUGGGAUAUUGGGAGAAGUUACCCUCUGGUUGACCUGGUUGACGCGUCCUCACUGUUACCUUCUCCGCCACGGAAGGUACAAGAAGUCUUUAACCUGGCACUGGAGGCAAGAAUGAUGGUUGGCCUGCCAAGACUGGUGUCUGUUUAGAAAGAAACAUCCAAGGUUAACAAAAGGAGAACAAAAGCCAUAUAGAGUGAGAUACAAUGGAUGAUCUGUAAUGGAACAUACCAGCUGUGUUAUGGAUGACUGGUUGGCUCCAGGCUCCACUGUCGCUGUCAGUGUCUGCUCGGACCGCAAACUCAUACAGAGCAUCUGGUUUGA